RNAcentral lists this ribosomal RNA (253 nucleotides) under uncultured bacterium. RNAcentral describes it as "partial 16S ribosomal RNA". It matches the Rfam family "Bacterial small subunit ribosomal RNA", at positions 524 to 776 of the family's 1533-position model. The record is from RNAcentral.
UACAGAGGUGCCAAGCGUUAGGCGGAAUUACUGGGCGUAAAGGGCUCGUAGGUGGCCAACUAAGUCAGACGUGAAAUCCCUCGGCUUAACCGGGGAACUGCGUCUGAUACUGGAUGGCUAGAGAUUGGGAGAGGGAUGCGGAAUUCCAGGUGUAGCGGUGAAAUGCGUAGAUAUCUGGAGGAACACCGAUGGCGAAGGCAAUCCCCUGGGCCUGCACUGACGCUCAUGCACGAAAGCGUGGGGAGCAAACAGG